RNAcentral lists this ribosomal RNA (412 nucleotides) under Pycnosiphorus lessonii mandibularis. Its description in RNAcentral is "partial 28S ribosomal RNA". The record is from RNAcentral. Lineage: Eukaryota; Metazoa; Arthropoda; Insecta; Coleoptera; Lucanidae.
UCAACCGCGUGUCGGGAGAGGAGGAGCGGCGGACGGGUGACGGGCGGCGUUCGCGCUCGCCCGCGCCGUCCACUCGCCGUCCUGCCCGAACGCGUGCACUUCUCCCCUUGUAGGACGUCGCGACCCGUUGGGCGCCGGUCUAAGGCCCGCGGAGGAGACCGCGCGCGCUCGUCGCGCGCGUACCCGCGGUGUCCCGGCCGGCCCGACAGACGGUACGACAAAGGCGCUGGGCCGCGAUUCGCUCGCGUUCGGCCCGCCGCAAGCGCGUACGGCAAACCCGACGUCCGGACCUAGUGCCGGACCCGGGCCCGCUCGGCUGCUGGCGGCGGCGCUCUCGGACAGACCCACGGCGCGCCCGUCGGCGACGCUAUAGCUUCGGGUACUUUCAGGACCCGUCUUGAAACACGGACCA